GAUUAUUUAGUUUAUUUAAAACAAGUGUUUUGAAAACACUAAAAAAGUAACAUCACUUAAUAAUUA
This 66-nucleotide transfer RNA is filed under the name Lomis hirta. Its description in RNAcentral is "tRNA-Ser". Lineage: Eukaryota; Metazoa; Arthropoda; Malacostraca; Decapoda; Lomidae. The record is from RNAcentral.